RNAcentral lists this ribosomal RNA (427 nucleotides) under uncultured beta proteobacterium. RNAcentral's name for it is "bacterial SSU rRNA". It matches the Rfam family "Bacterial small subunit ribosomal RNA", at positions 355 to 774 of the family's 1533-position model. Lineage: Bacteria; Pseudomonadati; Pseudomonadota; Betaproteobacteria. The record is from RNAcentral.
UGGGGAAUUUUGGACAAUGGGGGAAACCCUGAUCCAGCAAUGCCGCGUGAGUGAUGAAGGCCUUCGGGUUGUAAAACUCUUUCGGUGGGGAAGAAAUCUUUUAUGUGAAUAGCAUAGAAGGAUGACGGUACCCGGAGAAGAAGCACCGGCUAACUACGUGCCAGCAGCCGCGGUAAUACGUAGGGUGCGAGCGUUAAUCGGAAUUACUGGGCGUAAAGCGUCCGCAGGUGGUUUAAUAAGUCUGAUGUGAAAUCCUCGAGCUUAACUUGGGAAUUGCAUUGGAAACUAUUAGACUAGAGUACGGCAGAGGGGGGUAGAAUUCCACAUGUAGCAGUGAAAUGCGUAGAUAUGUGGAGGAAUACCGAUGGCGAAGGCAGCCCCCUGGGCUAAUACUGACACUCAUGGACGAAAGCGUGGGGAGCAAACA